This 387-nucleotide ribosomal RNA is filed under the name uncultured eukaryote. Its description in RNAcentral is "partial 18S ribosomal RNA". It matches the Rfam family "Eukaryotic small subunit ribosomal RNA", at positions 592 to 976 of the family's 1831-position model. The record is from RNAcentral.
CAAUAGCGUAUAUUAAAGUUGUUGCAGUUAAAAAGCUCGUAGUUGGAUUUCUGUUUUGAAUGUCCGGUCGGUCGUUUAACGAUGUGUACUAGGAUAUUUGGAGCAUUUUUUGUGAGGGUCUUUGACUGGCAUUAAUUUGUUGGUUUUAGAAGCUUGCAUCGUUUACUGUGAAAAAAUUAGAGUGUUUCAAGCAGGCGUUUGCUUUUGAAUACAUUAGCAUGGAAUAAUAAGAUAUGACUAGCGUGGUCUACUUUGUUGGUUUGCACACGCAAGUAAUGAUUAAUAGGGACAGUUGGGGGUAUUCAUAUUUGAGCGUCAGAGGUGAAAUUCUUGGAUCGCUGAAAGAUGAGCUUAGGCGAAAGCAUUUAUCAUGGAUGUUUUCAUUAA